AACAGAUAUGCUGACCCUGGAUUUGGUAGACAAAAAAUUAGUCAUGGAAGAGAAACAUGAAGAUGUAAAUCCAGUUCAGUGCUUGUGGCUUAAACAUAAAACUACUAAAAAGGACUAUCUCAAUUGCAAGCAUUGUUGUACAAACUGAGACCUGUACAGCAGCAAAUGAAUCAUUAUUGCCUAGAGGCUAAGUUUCAGUAAGUUUUAUUUGCUUGCAAAUACUAGCACAUCAAUUCUAUCUAAUUUAAAUAACUACCAUUUCUACUAAAAUAUAUGGCUAAAGAGAUGCUUAACCUUCUAUCUGAUUAAAACAGCCUUCUCCAAGUAUGAAGAGAAGCCUCAAAAAAUAAAUAUAAAAAUGAGGUGAGUACUCGUAUUGGAGCAUAUGUUACUUCUGACAUUACCGCCACAUCCAAUAAAUGAGUUAAAAAUA
This 433-nucleotide unclassified non-coding RNA is filed under the name Hevea brasiliensis (rubber tree). Lineage: Eukaryota; Viridiplantae; Streptophyta; Magnoliopsida; Malpighiales; Euphorbiaceae. The record is from RNAcentral.